Molecule: long non-coding RNA, 1797 nt
Organism: Salmo trutta (river trout)
Lineage: Eukaryota; Metazoa; Chordata; Actinopteri; Salmoniformes; Salmonidae
Source: Ensembl
AAAAUGUAUGAAAGUAUAAGCCUACACAAUUUACAAUAUCCAUUUUCCUGAAUAUGUUUAAACAUUCAUACCCCUAUUAUCUUCUUCUGUUUCCCUUUCUUCAGGUGUGUGAGGAGAGACUGCAGUUCUCUCUCUGUGAGAACGUUAAAACGAACGUCCUCCGGGGGCGACAGUGAGCGACAGCGUCAUUCUCCACCCAUGGGGAGACCAGCCCUUAGAUGGGGGCGGAGACACAGUCAGUGUGAAGGAUGUAGGAAGGUAUGCUCUCUCUAUCACAGGAAGUUGGUGGCACCUUAAUUGGGGAGGAGGGGCUCGUGGUAAUGGAUGGAACAGAAUCGGUGGAAUGUCAUCAAAUACAUCAAACACAUGGUUUGAUGCCAAUCCAUUGGCUCCAUUUCAUCCAUUAUCAUGAGUUGUCCUCCCCUCAGCAACCUCCACUGCCCUCUAUGUAUUUUGAGAUUUAUCAAACUGUUGUGUUGAAUGAUGGCAGGCAGACAGAUAAUAAAGAAGAUAUCUUUUUUUCUGUUCUUAGCGAAGAGGAGCCGGACACCGAACCCAAUUCUGAACCCCAGAGUGAGUCUGAUGCGACUGACAGUGAACCACUGACUGUGAUCCAGCAGCCAGAAGUUACACCCCCUCAGCCUGUGGCAAACCAAGCAAUGAAAGCCAAACUGGCUCGCCUGUCCCUCUCCCUCCCUCCUCUCCCUCUUGCUCUCCCUCUCUCCUCCAGUCCCAAGGGAGGGUUCAGGGAGGGCGGGCUACAUCGAGACAGGAGUGGGAGACGGAGGGGUGCGUCCCCAGGAAGUGACCCCGAUGAGGAUGAGGAAGAAGAGCAGGAAGACGAAGGCUCCAGGAGGGUGAUUGUUGUCACGGAAACAGACGUUGGCAAAAGGGUGGGGCUCAGGAGUCUGCUGAAGUCGCCAAGGGAACCGAUAGACAAAGAGAAAGACAGAGGGAGAAACGUGUCCUUUUUGAUGAUGUCACUGUCUAUCUCUUUGAUCAGGUGUUUGUUUAGUUCCCCCCUACCCCCUCAUAUAUUGAGUCCCAUGUUACUCUUGGGCUUUUAACACUUUCACUAUAUUGGAUGUACAUGUACUGUCUCUGCUCCUUUUCAGUCCCUGACUCUUCCUCUCUGUUUCUGAAACAGGAAACUCCAACUAGUGAGCUGAGUAGUUCCACCCGCACCAGUCCAGCUCCAGCUCCUAACAAAAGCACUAAAUUUGAUUUACAUGGUACGUACUACGUAUGCAUGCAUGUUGCUAUUAGAAACAAUAUAACGGUCCUGUACAUCAUUCCCUUCUGAGAGCCAAUAGAAAGCUUUUGAUGAAAUCACUACAAUAACAAGCACCCAUUGGACAGCUCCCAUCUGAUCCCCACUCACUGAAAUUGAGAACCCCUCACACCAACCCCUUUUCUAAAUAUGCGCCCCCAAAAUGUAUCUCUUGUAAUUAUCCCCCACACACUGUGACAUGGGGAAUGGAGUGUGGACAUAAAUCUGGUGCUCAACAAUGCACGUCUAAGAUGUGUUUUCCACCCUGUCUCCAGAAGCCGUCCGCUCUGUCUCUCCCACUGAUCGCUUCAUUUCACAGAAUAAUGAGAGUUUUGGCUGAUCCCCUCUGGGUGUUUUGAAUAGACUGUAUGUAGAAAAGCAUCAACACCAAAAUAAUCUACUUUCAUGAUCUCUGUCAGCCUGCAGAGUUGAACAGUUCAAAGCUUUGCAAGGAGAAAGUUUAUUUUUAACUUGGGAGUGUGGGCCUUUUUGUGUUUCGGUUCUACAAGAGGAUAGUUGUACACACG